This 651-nucleotide ribosomal RNA is filed under the name Actinotalea fermentans ATCC 43279 = JCM 9966 = DSM 3133. Its description in RNAcentral is "bacterial SSU rRNA". It matches the Rfam family "Bacterial small subunit ribosomal RNA", at positions 232 to 898 of the family's 1533-position model. Lineage: Bacteria; Bacillati; Actinomycetota; Actinomycetes; Micrococcales; Cellulomonadaceae. The record is from RNAcentral.
CGCGGCCUAUCAGCUUGUGGUGGGGUAACGGCUCACCAAGGCGACGACGGGUAGCCGGCNUGAGAGGGCGACCGGCCACACUGGGAAUGAGACACGGCCCAGACUCCUACGGGAGGCAGCAGUGGGGAAUAUUGCACAAUGGGCGAAAGCCUGAUGCAGCGACGCCGCGUGGGGGAUGAAGGCCUUCUGGUUGUAAACCCCUUUCAGCAGGGAAGAAGCGAAAGUGACGGUACCUGCAGAAGAAGCGCCGGCUAACUACGUGCCAGCAGCCGCGGUAAUACGUAGGGUGCAAGCGUUGUCCUGAAUUAUUGGGCGUAAAGAGCUCGUAGGCGGUUUGUCGCGUCUGCUGUGAAAACCCGAGGCUCAACCUCGGGCCUGCAGUGGGUACGGGCAGACUAGAGUGCGGUAGGGGAGACUGGAAUUCCUGGUGUAGCGGUGGAAUGCGCAGAUAUCAGGAGGAACACCGAUGGCGAAGGCAGGUCUCUGGGCCGCAACUGACGCUGAGGAGCGAAAGCAUGGGGAGCGAACAGGAUUAGAUACCCUGGUAGUCCAUGCCGUAAACGUUGGGCACUAGGUGUGGGGCUCAUUCCACGAGCUCCGUGCCGCAGCAAACGCAUUAAGUGCCCCGCCUGGGGAGUACGGAAUUCGGAG